AACGAACGCUGGCGGCAUGCCUACACAUGCAAGUCGAACGAGACCUUCGGGUCUAGUGGCGCACGGGUGCGUAACGCGUGGGAACCUGCCCUUAGGUUCGGAAUAACUCCCCGAAAGGGGUGCUAAUACCGGAUAAUGUCGUCGGACCAAAGAUUUAUCGCCUUUGGAUGGGCCCGCGUUGGAUUAGCUAGUUGGUAGGGUAAAAGCCUACCAAGGCGACGAUCCAUAGCUGGUCUGAGAGGAUGAUCAGCCACACUGGGACUGAGACACGGCCCAGACUCCUACGGGAGGCAGCAGUGGGGAAUAUUGGACAAUGGGCGAAAGCCUGAUCCAGCAAUGCCGCGUGAGUGAUGAAGGCCUUAGGGUUGUAAAGCUCUUUUACCCGGGAUGAUAAUGACAGUACCGGGAGAAUAAGCUCCGGCUAACUCCGUG
RNAcentral lists this ribosomal RNA (432 nucleotides) under uncultured bacterium. RNAcentral describes it as "partial 16S ribosomal RNA". It matches the Rfam family "Bacterial small subunit ribosomal RNA", at positions 29 to 507 of the family's 1533-position model. The record is from RNAcentral.